This 6044-nucleotide long non-coding RNA is filed under the name Capsella rubella. RNAcentral describes it as "long non-coding RNA (CRUB_LNC001823)". Lineage: Eukaryota; Viridiplantae; Streptophyta; Magnoliopsida; Brassicales; Brassicaceae. The record is from RNAcentral.
GGUGUAUGAUGUUGAACUCAUUAAAGUAAAAUAAAAACUUGCUUGGAAACCUUGGCAAGAUUGAAUACAUUCAUAAUUUUAAGUUUGUUUAGGUAUAUUCUAGCUCCCCUGUACUGAUGGGGAGUUUUCUUGCUUUAUUGUUUGGGACAUUUUGUGUACCUACCUAGCUAAUUGUUAGUUAUCUUGACUUUUACUAGUUACUAUUACGGAUCAAGCAGCAGCUUUAUUCAACAAUUAUAUUAUUCAAAUAAUUCAAAAUUCAAUACACGAAUCUCUUAGAAUUCAAAUGUUACUAAUUGUCAAAUUCUGAUUGGCUAAAACAUAAGUUGUAUAUAAUAAGUACUUUUCUAACUUAAUACCUAAAACUAUCGAGGGUUGUCCACUCGCUUGUCUCAACCUCUCUACACCCAUGGAGAAACCCGCCGAAGAGGUAAUCUUCUUAUUAUUCAGUCUAUAAGGCCAGGGGCAUCGGCGCUUCUUCUCUUCGUCCCUGACUAAAUUCGAUUUAAAUUUAAAUCACAAAUGCAUUUUAAGAGAAGAAACGUUCCUUCAAACGGGUCGUCGUUAGCUCGUCCUUCCUUCCACGUGUCCUAUUAUCAUUGGUUAUGCUUUAUUGAAGGGAUUACGUAGCAACGGAGCCACGACGGCGUCAGGAGGGAGAGAAGUCCCGAACUCAACCGUUGAAGCUGAGUCUGAGUCACGGUCAACGAGGCAGUACGAGAACGACGUCGUGUUGAGCUGCGACGGAAGAGCUAGCAAACCGGCUGCGCCGACGAACAACCAUUCGUUGCUGUGUACGCAUCCAACGGCAACGUUUUGGACCGAAGUUGAGCUGAUUGUGAGUGUCUCGGUGGCGAAAUCUCCGACGGUAUAAGAACCGUCACCGUAAAAAACCUCGAAGAAGAAGAUGAAGAAGAAUGCGAAAUGAGAAAGAAGAAGAUGAAGAAGAGUAAGGAACGGUGAGAAACACCAAUGCUCGUGUUUGCAAUGCCAACAUUUGUCCCAACCAAAAAAAAUUGAUAAAAAAAUAAAGGGACAAAAAAAUGGGUCCUUGCAAUGCCCAUGCCCUAACCCUUUGUUUCUCAAUUUGUGGUUUCUUCACAAGUAUAUAUGCAUCAAAUAUACUUCAAGUUUGUAGAUUUCUGAUUAGAUCUUUUGUACUUUUAGGGACUGCAUAAAUUGUUGCCAAAAGUCAAGUAAAUUGAAUCGAUAUUUGUCUUCGUUUUUUAAAAUCUUUUUUUUUUUUUUUCUUUUUGGUUCAUGUAAAAGAAAGAUGCAUAUGUAAUAAGUUCUUGUGUAAUAAUUGCAGUGACAUUGGGAGGGUUACUGUUUCGGGAUAUGACACAUGGCUGACUCCUCGUGAUGAUGUCGAGAGGGCGUUUAGAAAACAUUUCACUUCAUGUGGUCGAGAGAUCACAGAUGUUUAUGUUUUCAAUAGGUUUUGUCGCUUUUUCAUGCUUCAUUUUUUGAAGUUAAAUGAUUAACUAAAGAAUGAACUAAAGAAAUUAAACACUUGUUACUACAUGCAGAUUUGCUUAUAUAUAUUUUCUGGGAGAAGGCGCAGUCGAUAAAGGCCUUGCAACUUAAUGGAAGUGAUGUGGGAGGAUAAAAUGUCUCUGACAAGAUUCAAUAUCAACUUUCUUUUACCAGUGGCAGUGAGAACUGUACGAUUUUCAACAGUAGGAGAUGUGAUUUUCAUCUUCCGUCAUGAACCGAACCUCUUAAACUAUGUAUGAUCGUGGUGGCAUUGAGGUUCUUGAUUUUGGACUGAUUACUUUUAGCUACUUGUUCUUGUAAAUGUUGUGCCAAGAUGGCAGUUCCUUUCCCGGUGUUUAUGCUGCUAAGAGGCAUCAACCGUAUCUGUCAAACCGAACUCUGUUGGGUCAGUGUUGGAGUAUUAAGUGACUGGAAAUCCCGGCAACAAAAGUCAACUCCUCAUCACAACAUGUUAGCCAUUGUUUGCUCUGUACUUUUAGAUAGAAAAUAAGCAGUUUCAGUCAGACAAUCACAGGUUUUGCUCGAUCAAAGUACCCUCGCUGGUUCUCCAUCACCCAACUUCAACCAGCUGGUGGUGAUCCAUGUAUUGAUCUGCGGAGAGUGACAUCAUAAUAAGUAUCCAAAUUUGAGGCAGCAAACGUUGAACAUGUUUUUACAAAACAAUUCUGAACAGUAUAUAUAAUUUGCAUUAAUAGCAAACAAUCUAAAGUGAGCAUGCUAUAUAUAUAUAUAUAUGAUUACUUUUAUUAUAAAAUGCAUCUUCCAACAUAUAGCUAAAGGAAGAGUGCUCAUGCAAAUAGUGAUGUCAAAGAAUCAGCAGAUCUAUUUUUCUUUACCUAUCCAUUAAGCACAGACAGUUGAUCCUGCAAUGAAAAUAUCUGUUUUCAUUGCAGUUUUAAAGCUCGGUAUGCCUUUCUCUUCAACCACGUUGAUAUUUUUCCUUGUGAACUCUUGCAAUUAUCCACCCCUUCUGCUCAAAACUACUGCAUAUUUUCUUGCUACCACAGCUCAAAAGCUCAUAACGUAAUUGACAGUACCAGUCAUUGAAAUUGACCUGUGACAUUGAAACUGAAGCACACCAGUCAUUGGUAAUUCAUAAUUAAGCAGGAAAAAUCUCCUUGACUAAAGAAGACUAUUAAAUUAUGAUUUCAUGUCAUAGGUUCCUGAUAGCUUUUGCAGAUUCCAUUCAGCAGUUUGAUCCCUUAACUACCACCAAUGUCAGUAGCUAACCUCAAAACAUUAACGCUGGAUCGUGUUAUAUUGAUGUUUAUAGUUUUCAAGCUGCAUCCUCAUUAUCUUCUUGGUCAAGAUUGGUCAUGUGCACUUCAACUAGAACACUCUCUCCAUAUUCUCUAGGCAAUGCCACACGAUGGCUGUCUUCCAUUUUGAAAGGGAAACCACUCGGAGUUUCUUCUACCUUUAUUCAUUCACACAAGUAGGAGAACAAAUAACAUUAACAGUGGGAACAGAGAGCUUCACGAAACCUAUAUGAUUUUUUAAUUGGAAACACAGAGAAAUUCUAAACACGAAAACAUGAAAAGGGUAAUAAUGGUUCAAGUCAAUUCCCCCCCCCCCAACGGUUCGGAAGCUUUGGGCUUGGUCCAGGACAGAACUAAGUCUAAGGCCCAAUCGUUUGUUGUGAAAAUAUAUACGAAAUGAUAGCCCAAUCCAAUAAUGACUAGAAAAGGCAAAAAAAAAAAAAAAAAAAAAAAAAUAACAACUAUAAAAUACCCUCUUCAGACCUAAUUUUAACCCUAAAAUUGUCAAGGGUUGUCGCCUCUCGCUCGUCUCAACCGCUCUACCUACACCCAUGGACGACUCCGCCGACGAGGUAAUCUUCUUAUUAUUAUUCAGUCUAGAACCCUUUGUUUCUCAAUUUGUGGUUUCUUCACAAGUAUAUAUGCAUCAAAUAUACUUCAAGUUUGUAGGGUUUCUGAUUAGAGAUUUUUUUGUACUUUUAGGGGCUGCAUACAUUGUUGCCAAAAGUCAGGUAAAUUGAAUCGAUAUUUGUCUCUUUUUUUGGGUAUAUGUAAAAGAAAGAUGAUAUAAUAUUAUCAAAUAAUGACAGUGACAUUGGGAGGGUUACUGUUAGGGGAUUUGACACUAGGCUGACUCCUCAUGAAGAUGUCGAGAGGGCGCUGAGAAAACAUUUCACUUCAUGUGGAGAGAUCACGGAUGUUUAUGUUCUCAACAGGUUUUGUGGCUUCUUCUUCCUCCAUUAUUACUUUCCAGCGGAGCUCAUUGAUGUUUAGCUAAAGAAAACACUUGUUGUUGUUUUUGUUGCUAAAUGCAUGCAGUCGAGCUCAUAUAUAUCUUGUGGGGAAAGACGUAGUCCCUAAGGCCUUGCAGCUUAAUGGAAGUGAUUUGGGAGGAUGGAUUGUCUCUGUUAAGCCUUUUCCGUUUUCUGAAAAUCCAAACGAGUAAAAACACUGCCUUUUUAAUUAAUUUUCGUUUGAAGCUUUUAAUAUGCAUGUGAAUUGAUAAUAUAUAUCAUCUCGUGAAAAAUCCUGUUACUUAUUGCAGUAACGUUGUGGUAAAAGUUGAAGGAUAUGACACUUCCCUUAGUGAGAUUGAUAUCCAGAGCGCUUUGUGUAAGCUGUUCUCUUCAUACGGAACGAUCAAGGAACUCCUUUUUAGCCAAGGGUUUGUCGUGUCUUCUUCCUCCCAUUUUUCCUAAUUCUUAAGCUAUCAGUCACUCUAUCUAAUGACCUGUCUUUUCUUGAUUUUUACAGCCAUGCACUGGCUAAUAUAUGUGGUAAAGACAUUGCUGAUAAGGCGCCUGAACUUGAUGGGAGCGACAUGGGAGGACGCAAAAUAGCUGUUCGAGUGCUUUAUAGACCGAGAAUACACACUACCCACAUGCGCCGCUGCUACGACGAUCAACCUCCUUUUCUCCCACCAAGAACUGCAGUUAUUUCCGAUACCUCUACCAGUGAUGCAGCCAUUACACAAAGCAGGUAAGUUGAUUGAAAAGUGUGUACCAUGGUUCUUCCAAACCUUUUCCUGUCUUUUAAAUUGCUGUGCUUUUUCUUUUGGUAUUAUUGCAGGACUGAAAGCUCCAAGACUCCAGGUAAAUCUGUUGAGAAGAAAAGGAAGUUAAGUGAGGAACAGGUUACAACCACAUUAAAGAGUAAGGCUAUUCCUAGUAGUGUUGAGAAGCAAACACCUGAUAUAGCUGGGCUCGUUGUUGACGAUAUAUGCUUGGGAAGCGGCAAGAAAGCUGAUCCUGGAAAAAUGGUAUGUGCGCAUUUAUGUCCUAAACUUUCAAGACAUAUCUUAUCAUCACAUGAUUACUACAAUGUCAUAUAGUCUAUUGUACAAGGUGGCAGUCUGGUGAAGAAUAUGGGUAUUUAUAGAAUUGGUGGUGGAUAGGAAGCAAACAAACUAACGCCUUACUGAGACCUAAGCGCAUGAAAGAAUUAUUUGGGAUAGGAACUGAACAAACAAACUAUUAAGUUGUGGUGAAUACUAGAUAAUAUUGUCAUUGGGUCUAUCACAGUGCGUUAAUGUAGUGUGGUUGUAACUUCCAAAAUAUUUGUUGGAGCUCAUUCUAUCUUCUCUGAGUGCAGGUAGUAGUCCAUUAUACUGGAAAGCUGCAGGAAAAUGGGAAGAUUUUCUAUUCUACAAAAAGAAAAUUCCCUUAUCAGUUUCGUCUAGGUUGGUAUAACAUUAGAUGCGAAAAUAAGGGUUUUACUAGUCUGUGACUGUUACUUGGAUGCUUAUAUGCUAUUCGUUGCUAAUUACAUGCAGGUGUUGGAAAUGUCCUUCCGGGAUUGGAUUUUGGCGUUACUGGUAACCUGAUUUCUUAUUAGUUUUUCUUCACUAUAUAUAUGUUUGAAUGUGCAUCAUGUUGUUUUGAUAAAUCAUGGUAAAUUUUGAAGGCAUGUGUGUUGGUGGCAAAAGAAAGCUCACAAUUCCUCCAGCAUUGAGGUAAAGCCUUCUUUUCAAAUCAUUUUGAUUUAUCUAAUUACCGAUGUUUUUAUGCAACCUUUUGUACGUAAUGAAAUGAUGAUAAUACUUUGUCUGGCUCACAGGCAUUGUGCGGAAGGUUAUGGUGACAAUAUUCCUCCUGACGCUUGGGUGGUGAUUGAUGUUGAACUGAUUAAAGUAAAAUAAAAACUUGCUUGGGAACCUUGUUGAAUACAUGCAUAAUUAAGUUUAGCUUCCCUUUACUGAUGGGUAGUUUUUAUUUUUAUUGUUUACGACCUUUUGUGUACCUAGCUGACUUACUGUUAUUCACAUUCACGUUCUUUGGCUUUUUUAUUUAUCAAGGCGUCCCCAUAAGUCAACGUUGCCGUUUCCGUAAAAAGUGUGGGAAUUUAGACUGUUUAUUCUUUUUCUUUGUUAAGGAUUUCUCACAAACUAUUAGUGGUUUAGGCAGGUUUGUAGUUGUAUAGUGAAAUUAUCCCAUACUCAAUCAACUGAUUUGGUAUCUUUAGCAUAUAGACAUAACAUCUAUAAAUUACUUAAUUUGGUUUGAUCAGUUUACUCUUUCGCUUCCUCUCUCAUGGUCUCACGCACAGUUCCUUCUUUGUCCCCGAACUCUU